GGGGAUCUGAACCAGCUGUUGUGGACAAAAAUAUUAAACCAAUCCAUGUUAGUUAAAUGCCUAUUUACUCAACAUAAUUAUAAUCAGCAUUAUUCAACUUUCUAUAUGAUUUAUCUAAAAUGGCCCCUAGGGAGUUUCCCCUUUAACAUCGACUAACACCCUCAUUAACAAGAUGGCGCUGGAAUCUGGGGGAGACCUCCAAGAUACCAGUGACAUCACACCCAGUAGGCAGAGCACUAAAUGAACCACUUAACACCUAACCAAUUAUUGAUGUAUUAUUUCAUGUUAUCUCUGACAAUGCUUAUGAUGUAAUUUUGCUUUAUAAGGGACAUGUCGUCCCCCCAGAAUAAACAUUCCUCAAGUUUUUCAUUAAC
RNAcentral lists this long non-coding RNA (374 nucleotides) under Pelobates cultripes (western spadefoot toad). Lineage: Eukaryota; Metazoa; Chordata; Amphibia; Anura; Pelobatidae. The record is from RNAcentral.